UCACUGAUUGUUAUGGUCUGACAGGAAAA
RNAcentral lists this non-coding RNA (29 nucleotides) under Rattus norvegicus (Norway rat). Lineage: Eukaryota; Metazoa; Chordata; Mammalia; Rodentia; Muridae. The record is from RNAcentral.